CCCCCACUGAGUGGAAAUGGUUAGGCCUUGCUCAGUGGUUGACUGGGGACCCCUCUGAGAAAAGCAUAGGAUGAAAACCUGAAGCUGUCUGAAGAUGCAAACAGCUGGGGACUGUCAGCUAACCACCCUCCCUGGAGCUGAGGAGUGAGUCCUUUCUUGAAGGAGGAUCUGAUUGGCGCAUCUCCACAUCUGCCACAGUUUACCUUGUGUCCCGUGUGGCUCCACUUCAUAGCACAGUUGUGGAGCAGCUCUUCUGGGGUUCUGGUGGGCCUCUCUUCCUGAGGGGAAACUUAAAAGAGGGAAUUUAGAGAGAUGAACUAUAGCCCCCAUGGCUACAGGUGGUCUCAUAACCACAACUGAUACUCAUUGUCUCUCUCCUCCACUAACUGUUCGAAAGUCCCUCACUCUCUGCUGGCCUCAGUGGCUCACAUGGUGGUGUUUCCCAAACCAUCCUUCCUGAGGGGCCUGAAUUCCUGGUAAUCUUACCCGUGUCUAGGCUCCAUUACUACAUCACUACAUUUGUCACAAUUAGGCAAGAGCCUUCCAAGAGGCACCCAAGUGGGUCAACUGAGUUCCAUGGACGUUCCUCCCUGCUCCCAUCAUGUAACAGCAGCUCUGCCUGCUCCUGCUGAUCAAGGUCAAUUACCCCUGACAGAAGUGGUUCCUCUUCUUGCCUCCUGGUUCCUGGCCGCACAGAGCCCGGAGUGUCCAAGUGGAGCUGUAGCUUAUUGUUCAAUGGGAUUUUUGCCAUCCUCUGCCAAAAACACACCCUUUCUGGGGACCAGGACCUCUAACCCUGCAGAAUCCAGAGCUGUGGGGACCCCUAGUGAGUCACUGAAAGUGAUGGUCAAGCUUCUGUGCACCAGGCUCUGCCCAAGCGUGAUUGCCAGGAAGUCUGUCCCAUGCAGUGCUGCAGACCUGUGUAUUUCUUCAGGGACCUCAGCCAGAGAAACAAGCUGAGGCACAGAAACGCUAAGUAACGUUCCUUAGGCCCCCAGUGGUAAGUCGUAGAGCUGAGACUAGGCCAUUCUCAGUCUGGUUCAAGGGCCUGCACUCUGUGGGGGAUGUGUGUGUGUGUGUGUGUGUUUGUGUGUGUGUGAGUGUGUGUGAAAUAUUUCGAAAAAAGAAAAUCUUGUCAGAGUUGGGGCAAGUUCUGCUCACAGUGGCAGCUGGUCUUAUCCUCGAGGACAAAUGGUUUCUUGGUUCUUUUAAAAAGUAGGCAAACUGUCUUAGGAAGGACAGUGGGCCUUUGCCUGGGCCCUGCUGAUGCAGAUCGUCAGCCAGAGUAUGUUUUGUGUGCCACAUCUCAGGAAAGCCAGAACCUCCCAGAGAAGGACAAUGAAACUGGCAAGGACGUGGAACAGCUUCUCUAUGGGGCAAGAACAGGAAAUUCGAGACACAUCCCUCAUGUCCCCAGCUCCCAACCCCAUCAGAGUCAGUAAAAGACAGAGGUUAGGAGUUGGGAUUUUCUUGGCUAUUCCUCUGACUAGCUAUAUAGACAUGGGCAAGCCUGUGAACAUUGCUGGCCCUGGUCUCCUUAUCUGGAAGAUGGAUUCUGGAAGAAAGCCAAACCAGGGAAUGAUUUCUACAACAAGGCAGCACAGGGCCGCAGUGGGGAACAUUGACACUGGAACCAGGUGGCCUGAGUUUGUACCCCAACUCUAAGCUAUUGUCCAGGCAAGGAUUCAAGCAGAUGGAGGCAAGAGUUGGAGCAAGAGAAGGAGGAGAAAGAGGGAUGUAAAGGCCGGAUGAGUGGGUUAGUACAAGUUGUGUAUAAAUCGGGAACCACUUAGAUUAAUACAUAUGAAGCUUGUUUCUCUUAUGCCAAGACAACACUGUUAAUGAGCUUGGGCAGCCGGAAGUGUCGCUCUGCCAGGUGGGUCCCACCCUCUCCUCUGCUACCACCUGUCUUACUCCUACCUUCCUGCAUUCACUACUCUCCAUUUUCCGUCAACACUGGCCAACACCACUACCUACAUGUCACAAUGUCAAGGGAGGUAUCCAGAUGCCAUUGCAGAAAGUGCCUAUCUCUGCUCAGCCUCCAGAGAGGAGCUUCAUGAGUCCAAGGCAUUGCCAGAGCUGGACUCAUCCUCUUGAAAAUGGUGAGUGAAAUGAGAUCAUUUGUAAGUUGAGAUUUUUAUCAAAAGCCAGUGUUUUAAAGCUCUCUAUGAAACAAACAAAAAUCCCAUGGGGUUUUCCUUAAGGUAUACUCACUUUCACAUGUGUCAUUAUUGACUAAAACUUAUAAUUUAAAUUAUGGCAUACUCCUUAAUUUAAAAUAUGUACUCCUUAAUUUAGAAUACAAUUUUCUUAAAGCUUGAAUUUUAGAAAUGAAAGGGACUUGUGAGACCAUUCAGUUCCAUGUCAUUGUUUUUGAGCUGAGGGACUGAGAGGUGGUGAGGUGAAGGCGCUUAUCCGUGUUCACAGGGCUCAUUAGCAGAGCUGGGUCAUGGGCAGAAUUCUCAGUCAAAAAUUAUUUUCCUUACAUCACAGAAGACUCCUCCUCCAGAGUACUUAUUGUUAUGACAUCUUAAAGGGUUCCAGAAUGUGAGGACAAGUGAAACUAGUAGCAUCAACAGCUCAUGCAGAAUGGGGACUAAAGGAACUGGGCCUAGGGCCAGGGCUGGAAUCCUGUCUUCCCCACCUACUAGCAGUGUGGUCUUGGGCAAAUUAUUCCACCUCUCCGUGAAGUCACAGUUAACCUGAUUGCAAGUGUUUCAAUUGGUUUGUAGAGUGUUCCACUCUGUGUUAGGGACAGAAUUAGUAUCAGAUGCAUGUGAAUCAGGAAUCAUUUAUAUAUUUACGUGUUCAAUAACUGUUAACUAUUAUUUCCGAAAGGCACACUAUGAGUAUCCAGUGCAGUUAUAGGCUCUGGCUUUGCUAAAUGGAGAAUAUUAAGGGAUGUCUGCAUCCUGCAUCCUUUUUAGGUCUUUCCCAGUUUAAAAGUCUUGAGAAACCAGAAUUCUCUUCCUAAGUCCAUCCUGUUCCCACUUCAGCCCAAGCAGACUUUCCCCUCACUCUAGAAUGCUGAGGAUACAGACCCUGGCAGAGCUUGAUCUUAGCCAUAUCCCAGUGCUGAGCCUAGUGCCUGGAAAAAAAAAAGUUUGUGAAAGAGGAAUACAGUGGUAUCUCCAGAAUUUUAAUAUAGAUGUGGUUUAGAGUUGAUUAUCUGGGUGAUUGGCGAUUAGGGAGCUUGAAUUGAAAUUGCAUUUGCUAUAGGAAAUGAUGGUGGUUAAAGGGGUGUGACUAAUGUCCCCUCAUCCUAGCCCUUGAAAUCACCAAUGAAUGCAAAAAGGAAUGAAUGAAUGAAUGAAUGAAUGAAGAGAGUAGCAGAGCUAGUGCUCUUUCAGUAGACACCACUACAAGGAUACAACCUCCAAGCAAUACCAGAGGACAGGAAGAAAUCUCAGAAUGGGACCUGAGAUGGACUAAUCCGAUAUAAACUGGGUAUUGAUAUAUUAUCUCUACCUGUCAACACCCCCAGGCUGGAGAAGUAUGCAUUUCAAUGGUUAUGAAAACGAUGCAUUCCUUGCCCUUGCAGGAAGACAAACAACUUGAACAGGGUCUUUGACCUGUGACUUGUGGCCCACGGUUUAGAAUACAAUGUUCUAGAGGAUAUAUACUUACUGAUGAGAUUCUCACCACUUUUUCAAUUUUCCUCACAGUGGCGUGAGAUUAAUGAGAUAACCAUUUUACAGCUCGAUGUGAAAGACACUAGUAUGUAUAAGCUAUUAUUGUCGUGUUUAUACUCCAG
Long non-coding RNA from Equus caballus (horse), 3754 nucleotides. Lineage: Eukaryota; Metazoa; Chordata; Mammalia; Perissodactyla; Equidae. The record is from Ensembl.